GAGCGUCCCAUAGCGUUUUCGUUGUCAGAAACUCGGUAAGGUUACUAACAAGGUUAGGUUUGAUAUUUUGGAUGAGCCAAGAAAAGAAAAGACGAUUAAAUUAUCUUGUUCUCACUGUUCAUCGAUGGGUUCCGGUGGGUCUUUGGUGAGAUGAUUUAAAAGAGCUUUCGAUUUCCCCCCUAUGGCGACUCGUAUCAUCCGAGCCCAUAGAGGGUAGUUUUGGCUUGUGAGAUUGAGGUUAAUUUUUAGGCUAUCGGAGGGAUUUGGUUUUGGGUUCUGGGUUUGAGUUUGAACUCCAUUUUUUAGGAGAUUGGCUAUUUGGAUGGCUAGGUUAUUGCUAUCUUCUUCCGACAUUGUUCCUGGUUCUGGUAGAUGAUGAGCAAAACAAACAGAUUCGGGAUCAUGAACAUUGCUCUGAUACCAUGUUGACCAUGACAAUCAGAGGAAUGGAAGAAAAAAGUUGAAG
RNAcentral lists this long non-coding RNA (466 nucleotides) under Helianthus annuus (common sunflower). RNAcentral's name for it is "sRNA HanXRQr2_Chr02g0049111". The record is from RNAcentral. Lineage: Eukaryota; Viridiplantae; Streptophyta; Magnoliopsida; Asterales; Asteraceae.